This 837-nucleotide ribosomal RNA is filed under the name Anelosimus jucundus. RNAcentral's name for it is "partial 16S ribosomal RNA". The record is from RNAcentral. Lineage: Eukaryota; Metazoa; Arthropoda; Arachnida; Araneae; Theridiidae.
AAAACUAGAAUGAAAGGUUAUACAUUCAAAUUUCUUUAUUAAUUUUUUAAUAAAUAAUUUAUAUUAAAUAUAAAAAUAUAUUUACAAAAAAAAAAGACGACAAGACCCUAUUAAAUUUUACUUAUAGUUUAGCUGGGGAAGCUUUUCAAUUAAAAUUUUUUAAAAAAAAAAUUAAAUAAAUAUCUAAUAAAAUUAAAAUUUUAAUAAAUUACUAUAGGGAUAACAGCAUUAUAUUUUUUAAAAGUUCAUAUUAAAAAAAAUGAUUGUGACCUCGAUGUUGAAUUAUAUUUUCUAUAUUUAAUGCAAUAAUUAUAUAAGUAGAUCUGUUCGAUCUUUAAAAUAUUACAUGAUUUGAGUUCAAACCGGUGUAAACCAGGUUGGUUUCUAUCUUUUUAUAUAUUUUUCUAGUACGAAAGGACAAAAAAAUUUUUAUUUUAAUAAAUUAGCAAAUGAAUGCAUUAGAUUUAGAAUCUAAAUAUAUAUAUAUAAUUUUUUUUAUUAAUCCUUUAUUAUCUAUUAUUAUACUUUUAAUUUCAGUAGCAUUUUAUACAAUUUUAGAACGAAAAAUCUUAAGAUAUAUUCAAAUUCGAAAAGGACCAAAUAAAGUAGGAUUUUUAGGUAUUUUACAACCUUUUAGUGAUGCUAUUAAAUUAUUUAAUAAAAAUUUAAUUUCAUCUGAAAGAAUAAAUUUUAUAUUAUCAUAUUCAACACCUGCAUUAUCUUUAAUUUUAAGUAUAAUAAUUACAUCUAUAUUACCAAUAUAUUUUUAUUCUUCAUUUGAUAAUAAAAAUAAUAUUUUAAUAUUUUUUGUAAUUUCAAGAUUAUCAGUAUAUUCUA